AAGCUCGUAGUUGAAUUUCCGCGUUAGUAGGUUGGUCAUGCCUCUGGUAUGCACUGGCUUUACUGAUUCCUCCUUCUCGAUGAACUGUAAUGUCAUUAAUUUGGUGUUGCAGGGAAUCAGGACUGUUACUUUGAAAAAAUUAGAGUGUUUAAAGCAGGCAUACGCUUGAAUACAUUAGCAUGGAAUAAUGAAAUAGGACGUUUGAUCCUAUUUUGUUGGUUUCUAGGAUUGACGUAAUGAUUAAUAGGGAUAGUUGGGGGCAUUAGUAUUCAAUUGUCAGAGGUGAAAUUCUUGGAUUUGUUGAAGACUGACUACUGCGAAAGCAUUUGCCAAGGAUGUUUUCAUUAAUCAAGAACGAAAGUUAGGGGAUCGAAGACGAUCAGAUACCGUCGUAGUCUUAACCAUAAACUAUGCCGACUAGGGAUCGGAUGAUGUUAUUUUUAAUGACUCAUUCGGCGCCUUACGGGAAACCAAAGUGUUUGGGUUCCGGGGGGAGUAUGGUCGCAAGGCUGAAACUUAAAGGAAUUGACGGAGGGGCACCACCAGGGGUGGAGCCUGCGGCUUAAUUUGACUCAACACGGGGAAA
Molecule: ribosomal RNA, 586 nt
Filed under: uncultured Glomus
Lineage: Eukaryota; Fungi; Glomeromycota; Glomeromycetes; Glomerales; Glomeraceae
Description: SSU rRNA
Rfam family: Eukaryotic small subunit ribosomal RNA
Source: RNAcentral